Molecule: non-coding RNA, 614 nt
Organism: Cinara cedri
Lineage: Eukaryota; Metazoa; Arthropoda; Insecta; Hemiptera; Aphididae
Source: the annotation of a GenBank genome assembly
UGUGUUUGAAUAUUACGUUCAAAAUAAUUUUCUAUAAUAGUUAAUCCGGAUGUAAAAUUGUACGAUCAUCUUUACCCAACAGUAAUUUGAAGGUCGUGCUAUCGACAUAUGAAAAUAUUUGUAUUUUUUUUAUUUAUAAAAUGACGAUUAGAAGCUUAAACAUCUCGACAAAUUAGUACCUAUGAAUAUGACGUAUGUGUAUCGUAGUUAUCGUUUCCACUGUGUUACUAUUUAUCGACUGACCUAGAUAAUUGAAUGUAUUUUUUUCAAAUACGUAGUUAUAUUCUGCGAGAUGAACAAUCCAUAAAAUACUCGUAUCAAAAGUCGAAUAAGUCAAUACAUAAUCGAGUACUGACAAAAUAUAUUUUCUACUGAUGGAGUUGCUUUAUACUGUAAUUUGUAAGUUAUAUGAACAGUAGGUGUUGACAUGCGAUUUAUUAUCAUAAAACCAAGGGCGUCAUUAUAGUUUUAAAACUGGGCCUCCUAAUUUUUAGGCAGGCCAAUUUUGCUGUGCCACAUGUUUACUUAUAAACAAUCAUUGUUUUUUAAAACAAUAAAAUUCAUAGUUUUAGACUAAUAUACUAGCAAAAAACGACAUAUAGCUAUGACAAGAC